UGGGGAAUAUUGGACAAUGGGCGAAAGCCUGAUCCAGCCAUGCCGCGUGUGUGAAGAAGGUCUUCGGAUUGUAAAGCACUUUAAGUUGGGAGGAAGGGCAGUAAGUUAAUACCUUGCUGUUUUGACGUUACCGACAGAAUAAGCACCGGCUAACUCUGUGCCAGCAGCCGCGGUAAUACAGAGGGUGCAAGCGUUAAUCGGAAUUACUGGGCGUAAAGCGCGCGUAGGUGGUUUGUUAAGUUGGAUGUGAAAGCCCCGGGCUCAACCUGGGUACUGCAUCCAAAACUGGCAAGCUAGAGUACGGUAGAGGGUGGUGGAAUUUCCUGUGUAGCGGUGAAAUGCGUAGAUAUAGGAAGGAACACCAGUGGCGAAGGCGACCACCUGGACUGAUACUGACACUGAGGUGCGAAAGCGUGGGGAGCAAACAGG
Molecule: ribosomal RNA, 429 nt
Filed under: Actinomycetes bacterium
Lineage: Bacteria; Bacillati; Actinomycetota; Actinomycetes
Description: Actinobacteria bacterium partial 16S ribosomal RNA
Rfam family: Bacterial small subunit ribosomal RNA
Source: RNAcentral